GAGAGUAGAGGAAUGGGUUAGUAGAGAGAGGUAGUGGAGGAAUGGGUUAGUAGAGAGAGGAGAGUAGAGGAAUGGGUUGGUAGAGAGAGGAGAGUGGAGGAAUGGGUUGGUAGAGAGAGGUAGUGGAGGAAUGGGUUGGUAGAGAGAGGAGAGUAGAGGAAUGGGUUGGUAGAGAGAGGAGAGUAGAGGAAUGGGUUGGUAGAGAGAGGAGAGUAGAGGAAUGGGUUGGUAGAGAGAGGAGAGUAGAGGAAUGGGUUAGUAGAGAGAGGAGAGUAGAGGAAUGGGUUAGUAGAGAGAGGAGAGUAGAGGAAUGGGUUAGUAGAGAGAGGUAGUGGAGGAAUGGGUUAGUAGAGAGAGGUAGUGGAGGAAUGGGUUAGUAGAGAGAGGAGAGUAGAGGAAUGGGUUGGUAGAGAGAGGAGAGUAGAGGAAUGGGUUGGUAGAGAGAGGA
Molecule: long non-coding RNA, 448 nt
Organism: Oncorhynchus tshawytscha (Chinook salmon)
Lineage: Eukaryota; Metazoa; Chordata; Actinopteri; Salmoniformes; Salmonidae
Source: Ensembl